GAUGAACGCUGGGGGUCUGCUUAACACAUGCAAAUCGAACGGUGAACCCUCGGGUUCAUAGUGGGGGACGGGUGAGUAACACGUGAGAAUCUGCCUCCAGGUCGGUGACAACAGUGGGAAACUGCUGCUAAUACCCGAUGUGCCUACGGGUGAAAAAUUAAUUGCCUGGAGAUGAGCUCGCGUCCGAUUAGCUAGUUGGUAAAGUAAAAGCUUACCAAAGCUCCGAUCGGUAGCUGGUCUGGGAGGAUGAGCAGCCACACUGGGACUGAGACACGGGCCAGACUCCUACGGGAGGGAGCAGUGGGGAAUUUUCCGCAAUGGGGGAAAACCUGACGGAGCAAAACCGCGUGGGGGAUGAAAGCUCUUGGGUUGUAAACCCUUUUCUCAGGGAAAAAAUUCUGACGGUACCUGAGGAAUAAACAUCGGGUAACUCCGUGCCAGCAGCCGCGGUAAAACGGAGGAUGCAAACGUUAUCCGGAAUUAUUGGGGGUAAAACGUUCGUAGGUGGGUGUUCAAAUCUGCCGUUAAAAACCGGGGGUUAACUCCGGAAAAACUGUGGAAACUGAACAGCUAGAGUAUGGUAGGGGUAAAGGGAAUUCCCGGUGUAGCGGUGAAAUGCGUAGAUAUCGGGAAAAACACCGGUGGGGAAACGCUUACUGGGGAUAACUGACACUGAGGGACGAAAACUAGGGGAGCGAAAGGGAUUAGAUACCCCUGUAGUCCUAGCUGUAACGAUGGAUACUAGGUGUUGCCCGUAUCGACCCGGGAGUGCCGUAGCUAACGCGUUAAAUAUCCCGCCUGGGGAGUACGCACGCAAAUGUGAAACUCAAAAGAAUUGACGGGGGCCGCACAAACGGUGGAGUAUGUGGUUUAAUUCGAUGCAACGCGAAAAACCUUACCAGGGGUUGACAUGUCCAGAAUCUUGGGGAAACUUGAGAGUGCCUUCGGGAGCUGGAACACAGGUGGUGCAUGGGUGUCGUCAGCUCGUGUCGUGAGAUGUUGGGUUAAAUCCCGCAACGAGCGCCCCUCGUCCUUAGUUGCCAUCAUUAAAUUGGGGACUUUAGGGAGACUGCCGGUGACAAACCGGAGGAAAGUGGGGAUGACGUCAAAUCAGCAUGCCCCUUACGUCCUGGGGUACACACGUACUACAAUGGGAAAGACAGAGGGUAGCAAACGCGCGAGUGCAAACCAAUCCCAUAAACCUUUCCUCAGUUCAGAUUGAAAUUUGCAACUCAACUUCAUGAAAGCGGAAUCGCUAGUAAUCGCAGGUCAGCAUACUGCGGUGAAUACGUUCCCGGGGCUUGUACACACCGCCCGUCACACCAUGGAAAUUGGGCAUGCCCGAAAUCAUUACCCUAACCGCAAAGAGGGGGAUGCCGAAAGCAGGGGUGAUGACUGGGGUGAAAUCGUAACAAAGUAGCGUACCGGAAAG
Molecule: ribosomal RNA, 1432 nt
Filed under: Oscillatoria acuminata SERB 42
Lineage: Bacteria; Bacillati; Cyanobacteriota; Cyanophyceae; Oscillatoriales; Oscillatoriaceae
Description: bacterial SSU rRNA
Rfam family: Bacterial small subunit ribosomal RNA
Source: RNAcentral